This 71-nucleotide transfer RNA is filed under the name Camelus bactrianus (Bactrian camel). It matches the Rfam family "tRNA". From Rfam's summary of the family: Transfer RNA (tRNA) molecules are approximately 80 nucleotides in length. RNAcentral also lists the same sequence under 2 other names. Lineage: Eukaryota; Metazoa; Chordata; Mammalia; Artiodactyla; Camelidae. The record is from Rfam by way of RNAcentral.
GAGGAUAUAGCUCAGUGGCAGAGUGUGUGUUUACCAUGCAUGAGUUCUGGGUUCAAUCCCCAGUAACGCCA